UCCGGCCAUAUCACGUUGAAACACCGGUUCUCGUACGAUCACCAUAGGUAAACAACGUCGAACUUGAUCAAUACCUAAAUAGGUGACUGCGUGGAAAUACCAGGUGCUGUAA
Non-coding RNA from Acanthosepion pharaonis, 112 nucleotides. The record is from the annotation of a GenBank genome assembly. NCBI's taxonomy places the organism in Eukaryota, Metazoa, Mollusca, Cephalopoda, Sepiida, Sepiidae.